This 492-nucleotide ribosomal RNA is filed under the name uncultured bacterium. Its description in RNAcentral is "partial 16S ribosomal RNA". It matches the Rfam family "Bacterial small subunit ribosomal RNA", at positions 29 to 507 of the family's 1533-position model. The record is from RNAcentral.
AGUGAACGCUGGCGGUAGGCCUAACACAUGCAAGUCGAACGGCAGCACAGUAAGCGCUUGCUCUUACGGGUGGCGAGUGGCGGACGGGUGACGCAUACAUCGGAAUCUACUUUUUCGUGGGGGAUAACGUAGGGAAACUUAUGCUAAUACCGCAUACGUCCUACGGGUGAAAGCAGGGGAUCUUCGGACCAUUCGCGAAUGAAUGAGCCGAGGUCGGAUUAGCUAGUUGGCGGGGUAAAGGCCCACCAAGGCGACGAUCCGUAGCUGGCCUGAGAGGAGGAUCAGCCACACUGGAACUGGGACACGGUCCAGACUCCUACGGGAGGCGGCAGUGGGGAAUAUUGGACAAUGGGCGCAAGCUUGAUCCAGCCAUACCGCGUGGGUGAAGAAGGCCUUCGGGUGGUAAAGCCCUUUUGUUGGGAAAGAAAAGCAGCAGGGUAAUACCCCGCUGUUCUGACGGUACCCAAAGAAUAAGCACCGGCUAACUUCGUG